RNAcentral lists this ribosomal RNA (495 nucleotides) under uncultured bacterium. RNAcentral describes it as "partial 16S ribosomal RNA". It matches the Rfam family "Bacterial small subunit ribosomal RNA", at positions 28 to 507 of the family's 1533-position model. The record is from RNAcentral.
GAUGAACGCUGGCGGCGUGCCUAAUACAUGCAAGUCGAACGCUCAAGGAGGAGCUUGGUCUUCUGGAUGAGUUGCGAACGGGGGAGUAACGCGUAGGUAACCUGUCUCUUAGCGGGGGGGAACUCUUGGAAACGAUAGCUCAUACCGCAGGACAUCAGUUAAUGCAUGAUAACCGUUUAAAAGGGGCAACUGCUCCACUACUAGAAGGACCUGCGUUGUAGUAGCUAGUUGGUGAGGUAACGGCUCACCAAGGCGACGAUACAUAGCCGACCUGAGAGGGGGGUCGGCCACACUGGGACUGGAGCACGGCCCCGACUCCUGCGGGGGGCAGCCGUAGGGGAUUCUCGGGCAUGGGCGGAAGGCUGACCGAGGCACGCCGCGUGAGUGAAGGAGGGUCUCGGGUCGUAAAAAUCUGUUGUAAGGGAAGAACGAAUGGGAGAGUGAAAAGUGCACACUGUGACGGUACCUUACCAGAAAGCGACGGCUAACUACGUG